This 1049-nucleotide long non-coding RNA is filed under the name Gorilla gorilla gorilla (western lowland gorilla). RNAcentral describes it as "lncRNA (ENSGGOG00000044452.1)". The record is from RNAcentral. Lineage: Eukaryota; Metazoa; Chordata; Mammalia; Primates; Hominidae.
GCCGCCUGAGCCAGCGGCUGCUGGGAGGCUGUGUCCGCAAGCCAGCGGGGCGAGGCGGCUGGGCCCUGCGCGUCAGGUCCCGGCCUGGGGCACCGGGGCUGGCAGCGUCGGAGGAGGCGUGAGACCUGGGAGGAAGCUGGAGAAAAGAUGCCCUCUGAAUCUUUGUGUUUGGCUGCCCAGGCUCGCCUCGACACCGAAUGGUUGAAAACAGAUAUACAGAUGAUAGUGUCGAACCAAGUGGAACAAAGAAAGAAGAUCUGAAUGACAAAGAGAAAAAAGAUGAAGACGAAACUCCUGCACCUGUAUAUAGGGCCAAGUCAAUUCUGGAGACCUGGGUGUGGGUCAGGCAACCAGGUAAUCUUCUGAGUUUUGGCACUUUGGAAAGCUUGAUCUGACGCUCCUUUUCUAAAUAACUUGGAUGGAUUAUUCGUAUUUUAUGGUAACAAUUUAAAAAAAUGUAAUUAAAAAAAUUUAAAUAUUGUAAAAUAUACAUACCGUAAAACUUGCCAUUUUAAUCAUCUUUAUGUGUACAGUUCAUUGGCAUUAAGUAUAUUCACAUUAUUGCCCAGCCAUCACCACCAUCCAUCUCUACAACUUUUGCCCUUUCUCCAACUGAAACUCCGUAUCCAUGAAACACUAACUCCUUCUGUCCCCAAGCAACCACCAUUCUACUUUUGUCUCAGAAUUUGACUACUCAAGGUGUCUCCUAUAAGGGGAAUCAUACAGUAUUUGUCCUUUUUUGACUGGUUUAUUGAACUUCUUAGGUGUUUGGGGUUCAUCCGCAUGUGUCAAAAUUUUCUUUUAAAGGCUCAAUGCUAUUCCAUUAUAUAUGUAAGCCACAUGUUAUCCCUUCAUCAGUGGGCAAUCAGGUUGCUUUCAUCUCUUGACUGUUGUGAGUAAUGCUGCUAUGAACAUUGGUUUACGAGUGUCUUGAGUGUCUGCUUUUAAUUCUUUGUGUCUAUACCUAGGAGUGGAAUUGGUCAAUAAUGUGGAAUGCUUACAUAUUUAUUUUUUUUGAGAUGGCAUCUCGCUCUGUCGCCCAGGCUGGA